This 660-nucleotide ribosomal RNA is filed under the name uncultured bacterium. RNAcentral's name for it is "bacterial SSU rRNA". It matches the Rfam family "Bacterial small subunit ribosomal RNA", at positions 94 to 788 of the family's 1533-position model. The record is from RNAcentral.
AGUGGCGGACGGGUGAGUAACGCGUGAGAAUCUGCCUUGGGGUCGGGGACAACCACUGGAAACGGUGGCUAAUACCGGAUAAGCCGAUUGGUGAAAGAUUUAUUGCCCGAAGAGGAGCUCGCGUCUGAUUAGCUAGUUGGUGAGGUAAGAGCUCACCAAGGCAGCGAUCAGUAGCUGGUCUGAGAGGACGAUCAGCCACACUGGGACUGAGACACGGCCCAGACUCCUACGGGAGGCAGCAGUGGGGAAUUUUCCGCAAUGGGCGAAAGCCUGACGGAGCAAGACCGCGUGAGGGAGGAAGGCUCUUGGGUUGUAAACCUCUUUUCUCAGGGAAGAAGCUCUGACGGUACCUGAGGAAUCAGCCUCGGCUAACUCCGUGCCAGCAGCCGCGGUAAUACGGAGGAGGCAAGCGUUAUCCGGAAUUAUUGGGCGUAAAGCGUCCGCAAGUGGCGAUUCAAGUCUGCUGUCAAAGCACGGGGCUUAACUCCGUAAAGGCAGUGGAAACUGAAUAGCUAGAGUGCCGUAGGGGUAGAGGGAAUUCCCGGUGUAGCGGUGAAAUGCGUAGAGAUCGGGAAGAACAUCGGUGGCGAAAGCGCUCUACUGGACGGCAACUGACACUCAGGGACGAAAGCUAGGGGAGCGAAUGGGAUUAGAUACCCC